Molecule: ribosomal RNA, 1334 nt
Filed under: metagenome
Description: bacterial SSU rRNA
Rfam family: Bacterial small subunit ribosomal RNA
Source: RNAcentral
CCGAGACCGGGAUAACGGGUGGAAACACACGCUAAUACCGGAUGACCUCCAGGGAUCACAGCCUGGGGGAAAGCUCCGGCGCUUGGGGAGGGGCCUGCGGCCCAUCAGCUAGUUGGUGCGGUAACGGCGCACCAAGGCGAAGACGGGUAGGGGGUGUGAGAGCAUGACCCCCCACAAUGGGACUGAGACACGGCCCAUACUCCUACGGGAGGCAGCAGCAGGGAAUAUUGCGCAAUGGGCGAAAGCCUGACGCAGCGACGCCGCGUGAAUGAUGAAGGCCUUCGGGUUGUAAAAUUCUUUUCUGGGGGAAGAGGAAGGACGGUACCCCAGGAAUAAGCGUCGGCUAACUACGUGCCAGCAGCCGCGGUAAUACGUAGGACGCGAGCGUUAUCCGGAUUUAUUGGGCGUAAAGCGUCUGUAGGCGGCUGAGUAAGUUGGGCGUGAAAGCUCCGGGCUUAACCCGGAGAGGCCGUUCAAUACUGCUCGGCUAGAGGGGGUCAGAGGGGCGUGGAAUUUCCGGUGUAGCGGUAAAAUGCGCAGAUAUCGGAAGGAACACCAGUGGCGAAGGCGGCGCCCUGGGGCCGCCCUGACGCUGAGAGACGAAAGCUAGGGGAGCGAACAGGAUUAGAGACCCUGGUAGUCCUAGCCCUAAACGAUGGAUGCUAGGUGUGGGGCCGAGAAGGCUCUGUGCCGCAGCAAACGCGAUAAGCAUCCCGCCUGAGGACUACGGCCGCAGGGUUAAAACUCAAACGAAUUGACGGGGACCCGCACAAGCAGCGGAGCGUGUGGUUUAAUUCGAUUCUACACGAAGAACCUUACCUGGGCUUGACAUCACUGUGGUAGUGAAGCGAAAGCUAAGCGACCCUUCGGGGAGCAGUGACAGGUGCUGCAUGGCUGUCGUCAGCUCGUGCCGUGAGGUGUCGGGUUAAGUCCCGUAACGAGCGCAACCCUUGCCCUUAGUUAUACGUGUCUAAGGGGACUGCCGGCGGGAAGCCGGAGGAGGGUGGGGAUGACGUCAAGUCAGCAUGGCCCCUUAUGUCCAGGGCUACACACACGCUACAAUGGGCGGUACAAUGGGCAGCCAAGCCGUGAGGCGGAGCGAAUCCCAUCAAAGCCGUUCGUAGUUCGGAUAGCAGGCUGCAACUCGCCUGCUUGAAGCUGGAGUUGCUAGUAACCGCGCGUCAGCUAUAGUGCGGUGAAUACGUUCCCGGGUCUUGUACACACCGCCCGUCACGUCAUGGGAGUCGGUAACGCCUGAAGCCGGUAGCUGAACCUUAACAGGGGGGCGCCGUCGAAGGCGGGACUGGCGACUGGGACGAAGUCGUAACAAGGUA